GUCCUUUUGAGUUUGAUUUAAGGUCUGGCCUGCCCAAUGAAGUUUUGAAUGGCCGCGGUAUUUUGACCGUGCAAAGGUAGCAUAAUCAUUAGUUUUUUAAUUGAAAGCUGGAAUGAAAGGUUAAAUGAAAAAAUAACUGUCUCUAUUUAAAUUUUUUAGAAUUUUAUUUUUAAGUAAAAAAGCUUAAAUUUUGUUAGAAGACGAGAAGACCCUAUAGAGUUUUAUUAGCUAUUUUUAAUUAGAUUUUUGGUAUUUAAUCUUUUUAGAAAUGGGUUAAUUUAGUUGGGGUGAUUGAAAAAUUUGAUAAACUUUUUCUUUAUUUGAACAUUAAUUUAUGAAUAUUUGAUCCUUUAUUUUAAAGAUUAAAAGAUACAAUUACCUUAGGGAUAACAGCGUAAUUUUCUUAGAGAGUUCAAAUCGAAAAGAAAGAUUGCGACCUCGAUGUUGGAUUAAAAUAAAAUUUUGGUGUAGAAGCUAAAGUAUUUGGGUCUGUUCGACCUUUAAAAUUUUACAUGAUCUGAGUUUAGACCGGCGUGAGCCAGGUUGGUUUCUAUCUCUAUUAAUUUAAGAUAUCUUAGUACGAAAGGACCAGGUAUUUAGUUUAAAGUUUUAUAUAAGAAUAUUAUU
RNAcentral lists this ribosomal RNA (627 nucleotides) under Caneorhinus biangulatus (clocker weevil). RNAcentral describes it as "partial 16S ribosomal RNA". It matches the Rfam family "Bacterial large subunit ribosomal RNA", at positions 1819 to 2739 of the family's 2925-position model. Lineage: Eukaryota; Metazoa; Arthropoda; Insecta; Coleoptera; Curculionidae. The record is from RNAcentral.